UGAGCAAACUGGACGGCCGCGGGGGAUGCGCGAAAGCAAACUUCCGAGGAAAGUCCGGGCUUCAUAGGGCAAGGAUAACGGCUAACAGCCGCCGGGGGCGACCCCAGGGAAAGUGCAACAGAAAACGACCGCCGCGGUUUUCCGCGGUAAGGAUGGAAAGGCGAGGCAAGAGCUCACCAGCGUCAGGGAGACCUGACGGCUAUGCAAACCCUAUCCGGAGCAACACCGCAGAGGGACACAAAGCGUCGGCCCGGCGCGUCCCGGGAAGGUGGCACUGAGCCGCGGCGGCAACGCCCGGCCAAGAUAGAUGACCGUCUAAACAGAACCCGGCUUAUAGGUUUGGUCACAAA
This 350-nucleotide RNase P RNA is filed under the name Ruminococcaceae bacterium CPB6. Its description in RNAcentral is "Bacterial RNase P class A". It matches the Rfam family "Bacterial RNase P class A". From Rfam's summary of the family: Ribonuclease P (RNase P) is a ubiquitous endoribonuclease, found in archaea, bacteria and eukarya as well as chloroplasts and mitochondria. RNAcentral also lists the same sequence under 3 other names. Lineage: Bacteria; Bacillati; Bacillota; Clostridia; Eubacteriales; Oscillospiraceae. The record is from Rfam by way of RNAcentral.